Molecule: ribosomal RNA, 481 nt
Filed under: Arhopalus asperatus
Lineage: Eukaryota; Metazoa; Arthropoda; Insecta; Coleoptera; Cerambycidae
Description: eukaryotic LSU rRNA
Source: RNAcentral
GAGUUCNAGAGUACUUGAAACCGUUCASGGGUAAACCUGAGAAACCCGAAAGGUCGAAAGGGGAAAUUCAUUCGCGUCUCGACCGCAGGCGUCGGAUGGUCGAGCGACGGACGGCCCCCGGGCCGUCUGCGCCUUCCUUCCGUCGAACCGGCGUCGAACGUGUGCACUUUUCCCCUAGUAGGACGUCGCGAUCCGUUGGGUGUCGGUCUAAGACUCGCGGUGGUGCCCGUGCGGACGUCUCAACGCGUUUCGCACGGACCCGCGAUGUUCCGGCCGACUCGCUCGACGGUAUAAAUAUGGCGUGGGGCCGCUACUCAGUUAGCGUUCGGCCUGCGGCAAGCCCGUGCGGUGUCGAUGGCGAUCGGACCUGGUGCCGGUCCCGUCCCCGAACGACUGUUGGCCGCGGUGUUCUCGAACAGACCUCCUCGAAACGCCUAUCGGCGACGCUAUAGCUUUGGGUACUUUCAGGACCCGUCUUGAA